This 1197-nucleotide long non-coding RNA is filed under the name Monodelphis domestica (gray short-tailed opossum). RNAcentral describes it as "lncRNA (ENSMODG00000046317.1)". Lineage: Eukaryota; Metazoa; Chordata; Mammalia; Didelphimorphia; Didelphidae. The record is from RNAcentral.
ACUUUGCCUCACUUAAAUCCAAAUUAUGAGCAAGUCAAGACACCAUUCACACUGUAUCUGGAACCCAGCAUUGUGAUGUCAUUUGGUUUUCUUCAAAAAAGACAAAACAACAAGGAUAAGGAAAUUGAAAGUGAAGAUAGCACUAACAGCCAAAGGGGUUAAGGUAGGCAGGAAAGGCUACAGGAGAAUCACACCUGAAUUGAACUGAAUCAAGAUGAGAGCAGAGACGAGAAGGCCCCUAGGAACCCUCAUCAGAGGCUACCUCAUAUCUGCUGGACAUUGGUUUCUCCAAUUUUAGAGAUUUAGAUUUAGAGAGGAUUUUAGAAAUUCACCUCCAGUUAUUAGUGCUCUCUACUUACUCUCUCUCCUAUUAUAGAAUACAAAUAGUUAUAUCAAAAGUUCUGAUUUUCUGGACCUGAAUGAAGGGAAAGAGAGUCUCAGAUCUGUUCUUCCAUUUCUUGUUGGGAGAUGAACCCAAGUCCCAAAGUCCCAAAGUCCAUUUAUAUGAGACUCUUUCUUCAUCAGUGGAGAACGUGUGCCUGGUGACUGCAUAAGGGGGAAGGUUUGGAGUCCAUGAGAGAGGGAAAGAGGAGAGCUCUAGUCUCCUCUGGCUCUUCAGUUUCUUUAGACUUUGGAUAUUUCUGGUUUCCAGCUUUGAGAGAAAAGAUGAAUGAUGUCUACCCCACUUCCGGCUGCUGAAGGGAAAUACUCUGGGAAGAAGCCAGUAUGAGAGGAGCUAGCCAUCUCCAUCCCUAUGCCCAGUGUACUACAGUUAACUACCUCUUGGGAGAUCGAUGUGAGGGCAGAUGUGAUUCAAGACCGUGGCACUCUCUCCAAAGGACAAUGUAAACAGCUGUUCAAGAAGAGUGGCAUCUGGCAUCAGCCCUACUCCCAGGUGAGCAGGUGGGAGUGAGAAGAUCACAAAAGGGUGGAUUAAGAGAUUGAGAAAGAUGACCAUUUUAUUCCUUUUCAGGAGUCUCACUAAAGAGUUAUGCUACUCUUCCAUCUAGGUGCCAAAGAGGCUAGGGUGCUAAGCCUGCAGUCAGGAAGACCUAAGUUUUCAUUCUGCCUCUAAUACUUAUGUGCCCUAUGACCCUGGGCAAAUGACAACCUUUCACAGCCUUAGUUUCUUCGUUUGCAUCGUGGAGAUAACAAAAAAACAACUACACAGGGUUGUUUUCAGGAUCAAAAGGGUCA